AACGAACGCUGGCGGCAUGCCUAACACAUGCAAGUCGAACGAGACCUUCGGGUCUAGUGGCGCACGGGUGCGUAACGCGUGGGAACCUGCCCUUAGGUUCGGAAUAACUCCCCGAAAGGGGUGCUAAUACCGGAUAAUGUCUUCGGACCAAAGAUUUAUCGCCUUUGGAUGGGCCCGCGUUGGAUUAGCUCGUUGGUAGGGUAAAAGCCUACCAAGGCGACGCUCCAUAGCUGGUCUGAGAGGAUGGUCAGCCACACUGGGACUGAGACACGGCCCAGACUCCUACGCGAGGCAGCAGUGGGGAAUAUUGGACAAUGGGCUAAAGCCUGAUCCAGCAAUGCUGCGUGAGUGAUGAAGUCCUUAGGGUUGUAAAGCUCUUUUACCCGGGAUGAUAAUGACAGCACCGGGAGAAUAAGCACCGGCUAACUCCGUG
RNAcentral lists this ribosomal RNA (433 nucleotides) under uncultured bacterium. Its description in RNAcentral is "partial 16S ribosomal RNA". It matches the Rfam family "Bacterial small subunit ribosomal RNA", at positions 29 to 507 of the family's 1533-position model. The record is from RNAcentral.